RNAcentral lists this unclassified non-coding RNA (534 nucleotides) under Hevea brasiliensis (rubber tree). Lineage: Eukaryota; Viridiplantae; Streptophyta; Magnoliopsida; Malpighiales; Euphorbiaceae. The record is from RNAcentral.
CAAACAUCUGCUGGGGAUAUUUCUGAAUGCCUGCAUUAGCAUAAUGAAUUCCUCUUGACAUUGCUUGGUGCUGUGAUAAAGAAUUCCUCCAGUUCAUUUCUGAUGCAUGAAGGCCAUCCAUAUGUGGCCCUAUUUGCUGCUGUUGAAUUCCAUCAGGACCCACUUAAGCCUUGCUCUCUUAUUAAAAUUGGAUAAGGGUGACAUUUGCCCAUCUUGAUUGUCCCUCUUACCAUGAAGAGAAAUACCAGAAUUCAUAUUGUUGCCAUAUGAGAUCAUAAUGUCCUGCCCAGUAGGGGAAGCUCCUGAAAUAUUAACAAGAGACCCUGACCCUUGCUCCUGCGUACUUCUUGGGGUGCCCACCACCAUCUGAUAUCUUGGUUGUUGUGAUACCAAAGGUAAUGCUGGAACAUUGCCAUCAGAUCCAAAGCUUCUUGCUCCUAGGGCCAACAUGUUGAUUGGAGCAAAGUUUUGCACUGCCAGAUUCUCUGGGACACUCUGUGGCAUCAAAUUGCCAGAAACAAUUACAGAAUCUCC